Molecule: ribosomal RNA, 423 nt
Filed under: Triticum aestivum (bread wheat)
Lineage: Eukaryota; Viridiplantae; Streptophyta; Magnoliopsida; Poales; Poaceae
Description: partial small subunit ribosomal RNA
Source: RNAcentral
AUGCCUCGACUGGCUCGACGGCCACCCCACACGCGCCGUCGCUUACGCCAGCUUCGGCACGGUCGUCACCGCCAUGGCAGGAAACCCGGAGGAGCUGCGCGAACUGAGCGAGCUCGCAGCCGGGCUGGAGGCCUCCGGCGCGCUGUUCCUCUGGUGCUGCCCAUGGAGUCCUGGCUGCAGCUACCGCUCGGGUUCCUGGACCUCGAGCGCGGCAAGGUGGUGCCGUGGGCGCCGCAGGCCACCGUGCUACGCCACACGUCGGUUGGCGCCUUCGUCACGCACGCGGGGUGGGCCUCGGUGCUGGAGGGCAUGUCCGCCGGCGUGCCCAUGGCGUGCCGCCCCUUCUUCACCGACCAGAAGAUGAACGCGCAGCUGGUGCCUCAUCUUUCUACACUUUCGGCGUGGUCUUGGAGGAGCCCAUGA